Molecule: non-coding RNA, 469 nt
Organism: Carassius auratus (goldfish)
Lineage: Eukaryota; Metazoa; Chordata; Actinopteri; Cypriniformes; Cyprinidae
Source: the annotation of a RefSeq genome assembly
UGCAUAUUGAUCAGAUGCUUCAGUGCUCUGAGAGUGUUUAUAGUGCUGUGAGUUUAACACUUCAUCACUGACACACACAACAAUCUUCAUCAACAUGACCUUCAUCAUCAUCUUCAUCUGGACUCUUUCAUACUGCUUUAUACUACAAGGGUGUAAAGCUCAGAUCACAGUCACUCAGACUCCAGUGAAACCUGUCACACCAGGAGAAAAUGUUGUGAUGAGCUGUAAACUCAGUACUCCUGCACCCUGCAGCCCAAACCCCUGUGUGUUCUGGUACUUACAGAAAUCUGGAGAAGCUCCUAAACUCCUGAUUCGUUAUGUUAACACCCGUCAGUCAGGAACUCCAUCUAGAUUCAGUGGCAGUGGAUCUGGGACUGAUUUCACUCUGAGCAUCAGUGGAGUCCAGACUGAAGAUGCUGGACAUUAUUACUGUCAGAGUUAUCACAGUGUUAAUGUGUUCACACAGUGA